This 357-nucleotide ribosomal RNA is filed under the name Tetragnatha sp. Its description in RNAcentral is "partial large subunit ribosomal RNA". The record is from RNAcentral. Lineage: Eukaryota; Metazoa; Arthropoda; Arachnida; Araneae; Tetragnathidae.
AAUCAUUAGCCUCUUAAUUAGAGGCUAGAAUGAAUGGUUUAACAUUUCCUUAACUUUUUUAAAAAUCUAUAUAAAACUUAUAUUAAAUAUAAAAAUAUAUUUAUUUACAAAUUAGACGACAAGACCCUUUCAAACUUUACUAAAGUUUAGCUGGGGUAGCUAAAUAAUUAUAAUCUUAUUAGUAAGAAUAAAACAGACCCAAUUAAAAUUGAUUAAAUGAACAAGUUACUGAAGGGAUAACAGCAUAAUAAAUUUAUACAGCUCUUAUUAAAAAACAAGUUUAUGACCUCGAUGUUGAAUUAUUUCACUUUUAUACGCAAGAGUAUAAAAAGUAGGUCUGUUCGACCUUUAAAUUUU